This is a long non-coding RNA of Solanum tuberosum (potato), 1304 nucleotides long. RefSeq lists it as uncharacterized. NCBI's taxonomy places the organism in Eukaryota, Viridiplantae, Streptophyta, Magnoliopsida, Solanales, Solanaceae. The transcript is spliced from 2 exons. The record is from RefSeq and is a predicted model, not a curated record.
UUCUCCUCUUUCUUCUCAAAAAAACCCUAAUCUAAAUUUUUAAAAUUCAUGCCCUUAUAUUCCAAUCAAAGGAAAAAUUGUUCAAGAUAUGUGCUGAAAUUUCAUAUACUAGAACGACUACCAAUUCUUCUUCCUCAAUUUAGCGAAGAUAUCAAGGUUCAACACUUUACAAACAAGAAUUUGCAUAUUAUUGGUGAGAUGCUCAAGUCAAUAUGGAAAUCACUAGAGAAAACUAAUGUUUUUGUUGCAAAAUUAUUUCAGAGCAGCCCAUACAUAUGGAAAGACAUGAGAAUCAAUGAACUUUUACUUAUUUUCUUUAGUUUGAAGUGUCUUUGUGCUUUAAGUUGUCAAAUACUAAUGAAAAAACAGGAUACUUUGUGUAUUGUGAUUGUCAUAGUAGCAAAUUACAAUUAUGAAUUUUUGGAGGCCAAAAAAUAAACCUAGAGUGCUAAAAAUUAUUAAGUAAAAUGGUGCACUUUAACUGUUUGAUAAAUUGUCUGAAUGAAUUUUUCAGAGAUUUUUGUUAAGUUUGAGUAGCAAUCUGAUACCUAUUCAAAAUGUAAGGAGUCUCAUAAGUAUGGAUUGGACUCGUUGAUUGAGAGUCUUCGGAAUAGCUAUUACUGCUUCAGCACAUUGUGUCUUGGAAUGGUGUACUAGACUGCAAAUUGCAGUUGGUGCUGCCCGAGGCCUAUGUUACAUGCAUCACGAGUGCUCCCCGCCAAUCAUUCAUCGUGACAUAAGUGUAGUAAUAUCCUUUUAGACCAUGAACUGAAUGUGCGAUUUUGGCUAAGUAGGGAGAGACAGAGACUGCUUCUGCUAUCGCUGGCACGUUUGGUUACCUAGCUCCAGAGUAUGCAUACACGUUGAAAGUGAAUGACAAGAUUGAUGUCUACAGCUUUGGUGUGGUGUUAUUGGAGCUGGUUACCGGGAGAGAACCAAUUAAUGGAGACGAGCAUAUAAACCUUGCACAAUGGGCAUGGAACCACCAUGAAGAAGGCAAUCUAGUGGUUGAUGCUAUUGAUGAAGAAAUCAAGGAAGCAUGUUUCUUGAACGAAAUGAGUUCCAUGUUCAAGUUGGGGCUUAUUUGGACCAGUACUAUCCCUUCUGCUAGGUCUUCCAUGAAAGAAGUCUUGCAAAUUCUAUUACUUAGCCUUACUACUUCUUCCUAGCAAAUUCUUAGUAGUAAGCUUAGCUAGGACGUCUGCAACUUGAUUUGUUUCUCUGUAGCACGAGCAGUUGUUAGCUGUAGCCUGUAACAUUUGCUUGGUUCAUCAUUUGGGAAAAGUCUUCAAUGAUAUUCUUCA